This 70-nucleotide transfer RNA is filed under the name Dipodomys ordii (Ord's kangaroo rat). It matches the Rfam family "tRNA". From Rfam's summary of the family: Transfer RNA (tRNA) molecules are approximately 80 nucleotides in length. Lineage: Eukaryota; Metazoa; Chordata; Mammalia; Rodentia; Heteromyidae. The record is from Rfam by way of RNAcentral.
UGGAAGUUGGCUCAGUGGUAGAGUACUUGCCUCACAUGCAUGAAGCCCUGGUUCGAUUCCUCACCAUCAU